RNAcentral lists this ribosomal RNA (576 nucleotides) under Cyphellophora olivacea. RNAcentral describes it as "eukaryotic LSU rRNA". It matches the Rfam family "Eukaryotic large subunit ribosomal RNA", at positions 60 to 649 of the family's 3401-position model. The record is from RNAcentral. Lineage: Eukaryota; Fungi; Ascomycota; Eurotiomycetes; Chaetothyriales; Cyphellophoraceae.
AGAAACCAACAGGGAUUGCCUUAGUAACGGCGAGUGAAGCGGCAACAGCUCAAAUUUGAAAUCUGGCCUCUCUCGGGGUCCGAGUUGUAAUUUGGAGAGGAUGUUUCGGGUACGGCCCGGGCUUAAAUUUCUUGGAACAGAAUGUCACGGAGGGUGAGAAUCCCGUCUGGAGCCCGGGCACGGCCUAUGUGAAACUCCUUCGACGAGUCGAGUUGUUUGGGAAUGCAGCUCUAAAUGGGUGGUAAAUUUCAUCUAAAGCUAAAUAUUGGCCAGAGACCGAUAGCGCACAAGUAGAGUGAUCGAAAGAUGAAAAGCACUUUGAAAAGAGAGUUAAACAGUACGUGAAAUUGUUGAAAGGGAAGCGCUGGCAACCAGACUUGCGCGUCGGGGUUCCCCCUUGCUUCUGCUUGGGCUACUCCCCGGCGUUCAGGCCAACAUCGGUUUCGGGGGUUGGUUAAAGGCCCUGGGAAUGUACCUACCCUCCGGGGUAGACUUAUAGCCCAGGGUGUCAUGCGACCUCCCGGGACCGAGGAACGCGCUUCGGCUCGGAUGUUGGCGUAAUGGUUGUCAGCGACC